UAUGCAAGAAUUUACAAUGGCCUAGGGAG
Molecule: non-coding RNA, 29 nt
Filed under: Mus musculus (house mouse)
Lineage: Eukaryota; Metazoa; Chordata; Mammalia; Rodentia; Muridae
Source: RNAcentral